CGUGUUUCUGCAUCAAGGUGAAGUCACUUGUGUUUCUCUCUCUCUGCAGCUGUUGACCUGCUGGUGAAUCAGAGCCCUGCCUGUGUCAAGGAAGAGGAAGGAAAAAAGCUGACCAUAGAAUGUAGAUUCAGGGCCCUGGAGAAACCCAGCACCAAGUACUCUGUUAAAUGGUAUAAAAAUGGGACCGAUGGAGACGAGAAGGAGCUGAAAAACGAAACGGGCUCAGUCACAACAACUCUAGAUUUCUCAACGGGCCUGGCGUCUCUGACCUUGACUAAAGCCAGCGUGAGUGAUUCUGGGUUCUACAGAUGUGACUUCGGUAAAAAUGGCCGUGGGAAUGGAACCAGAGUGACGAUCCAGGGAAGGUAUUGUUUUUCCACGGAUAUCAGAGCUCCAUAUUCAAACGUGAGGUCUAAUAUUUUUUUUAAGUAAAGAGUAUGAACAGGAAGGGACGGGGCCAGAGGGACACUGGCAGAUCUUCCCCUUUGUUCUGAGCUCUUGAUGCUGUAGGAAGCAAGGGGUCAGAAUUUCUUUUGAUCACGUGAGUCAGUAGCUGCGAGGACAAGCUUCCCUCUGCCCAAAAAUCAAAACAAAACUUAGAUCCACAACCAGAACCGGGAAGAAUUUCCAGCAUAGUGCAGUUUGUUUUGGAUGAUGGUGAGUAAAUUGGGUUGAAAUAGCAGGACCAGAGCAUUCGAGAACAUUUCAAUGAAUGUCCUACACCGGCAAGUCCUGCUUGCAAAUAGUGUCCUUCACAUCAGAUCCGUGAGCCAAAUCCUCAGCUGAUACCAAGGGAGUGAUGCUGCUGAUUUACACCAGCAAAGGCUCUGGAACUUCACAACUGGGAUAGGAAGAAACCCUGAAAGCAGCUGUCACGGAGAGUUUCUGAAAAUUACCCCACCCCAGGUACGAGGGCUGUAGCAAGAACUCCUCCCGAGCCUCUGAGUGUGGAAAAAAGAACCUAUUUUCUACGAAAGACCUGUAAUUCUAGCCAGACCGAAACACAAGGCACCCAAGAAUCUCCACGUGCUUCUUGAGUAAAGAGGAACCAAAAGCAAACAAAUAAGAACUAA
RNAcentral lists this long non-coding RNA (1073 nucleotides) under Chrysemys picta bellii (western painted turtle). RNAcentral's name for it is "lncRNA (ENSCPBG00000022776.1)". The record is from RNAcentral. Lineage: Eukaryota; Metazoa; Chordata; Testudines; Emydidae.